This 229-nucleotide long non-coding RNA is filed under the name Drosophila guanche. The record is from RNAcentral. Lineage: Eukaryota; Metazoa; Arthropoda; Insecta; Diptera; Drosophilidae.
UUUUUUUCUACAUCUGUCAUAUUAAUCUACAACACUUCUCACACCAACCCGCCAACUCGCCAACACUUUCAGAUGGCCGCGAUAUCACACUGUUAAAAGGGUAUUUCAAAGUUUCGCGCGCUCCCUUCCGCCCCACAAAGGGCGAAAGUCUUCUAUAUCCAUAAUUUUAAAGAUAAGACAAAUUUAAAAAGGGACCUUCGUAGAGAAUAACCUGAUCCAUCAGAUCACU